GACAAUACGUAUUGUCAACACCAUGAACAUUAUUUGAAGAAUUAUUAUAGAACUUCAUGGUUGAUAACACAUCCUUUGAAUGAGACUUAUAAGUAGUGUUGAUAUAUUUCAGUUAGUGAGAGCCUACUGAAUAUACAAAUUAAAUACUAUGAUUGUAAAGUACUGAUACAAUCAUCACUAGGUGGUAUUAAUGGUAUAGGAAUGCAAUUCUUGAAUACAAAUGACCUAAAGAUUUUAAGGUUGCUAGAAACCAUAUGAUUCAUGGAAAUAUAAUUAGACAGGAUAUUAUAGUAAUACAUGUAUUGGUACUCAAGUAAUAUCAGGUAUUGAGAAUGAAAAUACUAUGCUAUAUGUGUCUGUAGGAAUAUGGUAGUGAUACACAGUUAUUAUUAUUUAGAAAGUUACGAUCUUGAUUUUGUUGUCUACAAAGACAUGAUUGUACCU
RNAcentral lists this long non-coding RNA (444 nucleotides) under Pelobates cultripes (western spadefoot toad). The record is from RNAcentral. Lineage: Eukaryota; Metazoa; Chordata; Amphibia; Anura; Pelobatidae.